This 253-nucleotide ribosomal RNA is filed under the name uncultured bacterium. Its description in RNAcentral is "partial 16S ribosomal RNA". It matches the Rfam family "Bacterial small subunit ribosomal RNA", at positions 524 to 776 of the family's 1533-position model. The record is from RNAcentral.
UACAGAGGUCUCAAGCGUUGUUCGGAUUCAUUGGGCGUAAAGGGUGCGUAGGCGGCGUGGUAAGUCGGAUGUGAAAUCUCGGAGCUUAACUCCGAAACUGCAUUCGAUACUGCGGUGCUUGAGGACUGGAGAGGAGACUGGAAUUCAUGGUGUAGCAGUGAAAUGCGUAGAGAUCAUGAGGAAGACCGGUGGCGAAGGCGGCUACCUGGACAGAAACUGACGCUGAGGCGCGAAAGCUAGGGGAGCAAACAGG